This 468-nucleotide ribosomal RNA is filed under the name uncultured bacterium. RNAcentral's name for it is "partial 16S ribosomal RNA". It matches the Rfam family "Bacterial small subunit ribosomal RNA", at positions 28 to 507 of the family's 1533-position model. The record is from RNAcentral.
GACGAACGCUGGCGGCGUGCUUAACACAUGCAAGUCGAACGGAAAGGCCCUGCUUUUGUGGGGUGCUCGAGUGGCGAACGGGUGAGUAACACGUGAGUAACCUGCCCUUGACUUUGGGAUAACUUCAGGAAACUGGGGCUAAUACCGGAUAGGAGCUCCUGCUGCAUGGUGGGGGUUGGAAAGUUUCGGCGGUUGGGGAUGGACUCGCGGCUUAUCAGCUUGUUGGUGGGGUAGUGGCUUACCAAGGCUUUGACGGGUAGCCGGCCUGCGAGGGUGACCGGCCACAUUGGGACUGAGGUACGGCCCAGAAUCCUACGGUCGGCAGCAGUGGGGAAUAUUGCACAAUGGGCGGAAGCCUGAUGCAGCAACGCCCCGUGCGGGAUGCCGGCCUUCGGGUUGUAAACCGCUUUCGCCUGUGACGAAGCGUGAGUGACGGUAAUGGGUAAAGAAGCACCGGCUAACUACGUG